Molecule: ribosomal RNA, 462 nt
Filed under: uncultured bacterium
Lineage: Bacteria
Description: partial 16S ribosomal RNA
Rfam family: Bacterial small subunit ribosomal RNA
Source: RNAcentral
AAUGAACGUUGGCGGCAUGGAUUAGGCAUGCAAGUCGGGGGAAUCCCAGCAAUGGGGGAACCGGCGUAAGGGGCAGUAAGGCAUGGGUACCUACCUUGGGGUUCGGGAUAGCCAUCAGAGAUGGUGGGUAAUACCGGAUGACGUCGUGAGACCAAAGAUUUAUCGCCCUUAGAGGGGCCCAUGUGGUAUUAGCUAGUUGGUGGGGUAACGGCCCACCAAGGCGAAGAUGUCUAGCGGGUGUGAGAGCACGACCCGCGCCACUCGCACUGAGACACUGGCGAGACACCGACGGGUGGCUGUAGUCGAGGAUCUUCGGCAAUGAGCGCAAGCUUGACCGAGCGAUGCCGCGUGAGCGAUGAAGGCCUUCGGGUCGUAAAGCUCUUUAGUGGGGGAGAAAAGCCGCAAGGUGUGAUCUAUCCCAAAAAUAAGCACGGGCUAAGUUCGUGCCAGCCGCCGCGGUAA